GUUUUUCUUCUGUGCUGGCCUGGCCAGGGAUUCUCCUCCUCACUGGCAACAGACCCCCAGAGUCACUCUGUUCCUUCAUCCUGCUUUGCUUAGGGUGGCUCACUUUCCAGCCUUGCCUCUGCUGUGGCCACCUGCCCAGGGACUCCUUUCCUGCUCUGUGGCCUGUGCCUGAACAGGAGCACAGUCAAGCCCUCCGACACUGCCUGGAUCAGAUGAGGAGGCAGAUCAUAGGAACCUUGAAGACAAGGAAUACAUCUCUCAUUUAUUUGUAUUUUCUAAAAUUCCAAGCAGUUUCAGACAUACCCCAGGACUAGGUAUCUCCCGUCUAAAUUGUGACCGCUACAGGGUUCAGAAAUACUGAGUGAACUGUGGGAUAGAUCCAUAUAAGUCUACACGUACAAGGAAUGAAGAGGAUUCUUGGAAGGAAAAUCAUUCCAAGAGAAGGAGUUGGACACGAAAAGGUUGACAAAACCUUAGUUACUGAAGGUAAGAGCAAGUCUGCAUUCAGCAUGGUGUCCCUGUCCCAGCUCAUUUCCUGUACCAGCAUGAGGACUAAUGCCUGAGGGAGUAAAAUGGAGACCCCCCAUGACAGGGGGAAACACAGAACAGGGAGGAGCCAUCCUGCUCUUUGAACUAGACACAGCCUUUUGACAACUGCAGCACUCCAGUGCUUCGCCUUGGGGUGGAGGAGAAUCUGGAGAAACUGGCAUGAGAGAAUUUCCACUCUUCGAAGCCUAGGGAACCCCAGGGGUGCCUUCAGGAGACUGUUGUGCCUGCAGCAUGUAGAAAACUCCCAUGAAAGUAAAAGUGGUUGUACUCAGCACUAAGGAGCCAAAGCAGGGGAGGAAGGAAACAGGAUCACCAACACAGCAGCCGACCCCAUGGUGUUUGGAUUUAUGGGAACUCAUGUGAAACACUCCCAAC
Non-coding RNA from Delphinapterus leucas (beluga whale), 924 nucleotides. The record is from RefSeq and is a predicted model, not a curated record. Lineage: Eukaryota; Metazoa; Chordata; Mammalia; Artiodactyla; Monodontidae.